Small nuclear RNA from Erinaceus europaeus (western European hedgehog), 123 nucleotides. The record is from Ensembl. NCBI's taxonomy places the organism in Eukaryota, Metazoa, Chordata, Mammalia, Eulipotyphla, Erinaceidae.
GUGUUGUAUGAAAGGAGAGAAGGUUAGCACUUCCCUUGACAAGGAUGGAAGAGGCUGCGGCCUGCAACACACAUACGGUUAAGGCAUUGUCACCUGCUUUGUGGCAUCUAACCGUCGUUUUUA